This 258-nucleotide long non-coding RNA is filed under the name Musa acuminata (dwarf banana). Its description in RNAcentral is "long non-coding RNA (MACU_LNC007044)". Lineage: Eukaryota; Viridiplantae; Streptophyta; Magnoliopsida; Zingiberales; Musaceae. The record is from RNAcentral.
CUCAAAUGUCACAUAACGAUGCAUUCAUUUCAUUCUUAUCCAAAGCAUGCAUAGAAACAUAGCCAAAGCUUUGGAUAUCAUAUCAAACACAUAGAAGGUGAAGUGGGAUCAUAACAUAAUAUGGUCCAUCCAUUUCUGAAUGACCAACAAACAUAAGUCUCCCACGUCUGGGAGCUCCAUCCACCCACGUCUGAGUGAAGUCAUAGGGGGCCGGCAGAGCAUCGCGGGCUCUAAGCAUAACUCCCUUUACCAUUUCUA